This 494-nucleotide ribosomal RNA is filed under the name uncultured bacterium. RNAcentral describes it as "partial 16S ribosomal RNA". It matches the Rfam family "Bacterial small subunit ribosomal RNA", at positions 30 to 507 of the family's 1533-position model. The record is from RNAcentral.
AUUGAACGCUGGCGGCAUGCUUUACACAUGCAAGUCGAACGGCAGCGGGGAGGUGCUUGCUUCUCUGCCGGCGAGUGGCGCACGGGUGAGUAAUACAUCGGAACGUGUCGAGAAGAGGGGGAUAACCACCCGAAAGGGUGGCUAAUACCGCAUAAAUUCUGAGGAAGAAAGCUGGUGACCUAGGAAUAGGCCUCGCGCUUUUUGAGCGGCCGAUGUCGGAUUAGCUAGUUGGUGAGGUAAAGGCUCACCAAGGCGAAGAUCUGUAGCGGGUCUGAGAGGAUGAUCCGCCACACGGGGACGGAGACACGGCCCAGACGCCUACGGGAGGCAGCAGUGGGGAAUUUUGGACAAUGGGGGCAACCCUGAUCCAGCCAUGCCGCGUGUAUGAAGAAGGCCUUAGGGUUGUAAAGUACUUUUGUUAGGGAAGAAAAGUCAGCUGUGAAUAAUGGCUGAUACUGACGGUACCUAAAGAAUAAGCACCGGCUAACUACGUG